AUGCAGGUUAACAAGAUAGGGCCGGUGCACACAUGUGUUUCAAGUAGCAGACUAAAUUCAGCAAUGGCCUCACAUGAUUGGGUUCGAGAAAGGUCUAAGAAAAUUUUGAGGAAAACUCCAAACAUUGGUUGCAAGGAUUUACAAGAGAAGUUGGAGGAAGACUCGAAUGUAACCACUGGCUAUAACACUGUAUGGAAGGGGAGAGAAAGAGCCAAGGAUGAGAUCUAUGGGUCUUGGGGUAGUAGUUUACGAUACCUAUUCAAUUUUAAAGCAAAGAUGGAACUGAGAUCUCCCGAAAACAUUGUUGAGGUCGAUACUAAACUAACGGAUGGUAAGGUUUACUUCCAUAGAUUCUUUAUGGCACUUAAGCCUUGUGUAGAUGGAUUCCAUGCAGGAUGUAGGCCUUAUCUUAGCAUAGACUCAACUGCAUUAAAUGGAAAGUGGAAUGGUCAUUUAGCUGCAUGUACCGCUUUAGAUGGUCAUAAUUGGAUGUUUCCUCUUGCAUUUGGUUUUAUUGAGGUUGAAGAUGAAGAUAAUUGGACAUGGUUCAUGACACACUUGCAUAGAGCAUUAGGGCCAAUUUCAAAGCUUGCUAUAUGUACCGAUGCAUGCAAAGGCUUAGAAAAUGCAGUUAAGAAAGUUUUCCCUCAGGCAGAACAAAGGGAGUGUUUCAGGCAUUUGAUGGAGAAUUUUUCA
This 696-nucleotide ribosomal RNA is filed under the name Triticum aestivum (bread wheat). RNAcentral describes it as "partial small subunit ribosomal RNA". Lineage: Eukaryota; Viridiplantae; Streptophyta; Magnoliopsida; Poales; Poaceae. The record is from RNAcentral.